CAGCAGCCGCCGCGGGAAUACAGAGGAUGCAAGCGUUAUCCGGAAUGAUUGGGCGUAAAGCGCGUCUAGGUGGUUAUGUAAGUCUGAUGUGAAAAUGCAGGGCUCAACUCUGUAUUGCGUUGGAAACUGUGUAACUAGAGUACUGGAGAGGUAAGCGGAACUACAAGUGUAGAGGUGAAAUUCGUAGAUAUUUGUAGGAAUGCCGAUGGGGAAGCCAGCUUACUGGACAGAUACUGACGCUAAAGCGCGAAAGCGUGGGUAGCAAACAGGAUUAGAUACCCCGGUAGUCCCUGUCUCUUAUACA
This 304-nucleotide ribosomal RNA is filed under the name uncultured bacterium. RNAcentral describes it as "partial 16S ribosomal RNA". It matches the Rfam family "Bacterial small subunit ribosomal RNA", at positions 506 to 808 of the family's 1533-position model. The record is from RNAcentral.